Molecule: non-coding RNA, 197 nt
Organism: Podarcis muralis (Common wall lizard)
Lineage: Eukaryota; Metazoa; Chordata; Lepidosauria; Squamata; Lacertidae
Source: RefSeq, a predicted model, not a curated record
CCGAUGUCAAGGAAAGAAACGACUACCUGACUUUUAGAAGACACCUGAAGAUCCUGUAAGACAGGCGCCGACACGGACCACAGCUGCGAACCGUGAGGCAGAUGUACUGAUACAGUUUGUCUUCCGCGACUGAGGGAAGUGAUGGAGGCCUAUCCCCAGUCAAGAUCAGCAUCUGUGUGGAGUGCAGUUUGCAAAAA